GACGAACGCUGGCGGCGUGCCUAAUACAUGCAAGUCGGGCGGGCUUAUUCGAGUAGCUUGCUAUUUGGAUAAGUCAGCGGCGGACGGGUGAGUAACACGUGGGUAAUCUGCCUCGUAGUCUGGGAUAACAAGCCGAAAGGUUUGCUAAUACCGGAUGAGUUCAUGUUAUUGCAUAGUGACAUGAAGAAAGGGGAGACCCGCUAUGAGAUGAGCCCGCGUCCCAUUAGCUAGUUGGUGGGGUAAAGGCCUACCAAGGCGACGAUGGGUAGCCGGCCUGAGAGGGUGGACGGCCACACUGGGACUGAGACACGGCCCAGACUCCUACGGGGGGCAGCAGUAGGGAAUCUUCGGCAAUGGGCGGAAGCCUGACCGAGCGACGCCGCGUGAGGGACGAAGGCCUUCGGGUUGUAAACCUCUGUCUGGGGGGACGAGUAAGGACGGUACCCCGGAGGAACGCCCGGCUAACUACGUGCCAGCAGCCGCGGUAACCUCCGUCGUCUCUACGUGACGGCGGCGGGACGACGGCCG
RNAcentral lists this ribosomal RNA (528 nucleotides) under uncultured bacterium. Its description in RNAcentral is "bacterial SSU rRNA". It matches the Rfam family "Bacterial small subunit ribosomal RNA", at positions 33 to 541 of the family's 1533-position model. The record is from RNAcentral.